Oenanthe melanoleuca is the source of this 276-nucleotide long non-coding RNA. RefSeq lists it as uncharacterized. The transcript is spliced from 3 exons. The record is from RefSeq and is a predicted model, not a curated record. Lineage: Eukaryota; Metazoa; Chordata; Aves; Passeriformes; Muscicapidae.
UGGGAGCUGAAGAUUUACGGGGUUCUGACCUUCCCCCCACUUUUGGGGUCUUAAGGAUUCUGCCCCCCAUUUUUGGGGUCCUGCCCCGUUUUUGGGUUCCCCAUUUUCGGGGUCCUGCCCUCUUUUUGUGGUUCUCUCCCUGUUUGGGCUCCCCAUUUUCAGGUUUCUCUCCCCAAUUUUGGGUUCCCCAUUUUUGGGGUCCUGACCCAUUUUCAGGUUUCUCUCCCCAAUUUUGUGUUCCAAAUUUUCAGGGUCCUGCCCCAUUUUGGGUUCCCC